GUCGAGCGGACUUUAAAAGCUUGCUUUUAAAGUUAGCGGCGGACGGGUGAGUAACACGUGGGCAACCUGCCUGUAAGACUGGGAUAACUUCGGGAAACCGGAGCUAAUACCGGAUAAUCCUUUUCCUCUCAUGAGGAAAAGCUGAAAGACGGCAUCUCGCUGUCACUUACAGAUGGGCCCGCGGCGCAUUAGCUAGUUGGUGAGGUAACGGCUCACCAAGGCAACGAUGCGUAGCCAACCUGAGAGGGUGAUCGGCCACACUGGGACUGAAACMCGGCCCAAACUCCUACGGGAGGCAGCAGUAGGGAAUCUUCCGCAAUGGACAAAAGUCUGACGGAGCAACGCCGCGUGAGUGAUGAAGGUUUUCGGAUCGUAAAGCUCUGUUGUUAGGGAAAAACAAGUACAAAAGUAACUGCUUGUACCUUGACGGUACCUAACCAGAAAGCCACGGCUAACUACGUGCCAGCAGCCGCGGUAAUACGUAGGUGGCAAGCGUUGUCCGGAAUUAUUGGGCGUAAAGCGCGCGCAGGCGGUCCUUUAAGUCUGAUGUGAAAGCCCACGGCUCAACCGUGGAGGGUCAUUGGAAACUGGGGGACUUGAGUGCARAARAGAARAGUGGAAUUCCACGUGUAGCGGUGAAAUGCGUAGAGAUGUGGAGGAACACCAGUGGCGAAGGCGACUCUUUGGUCUGUAACUGACGCUGAGGCGCGAAAGCGUGGGGAGCAAACAGGAUUAGAUACCCUGGUAGUCCACGCCGUAAACGAUGAGUGCUAAGUGUUAGAGGGUUUCCGCCCUUUAGUGCUGCAGCAAACGCAUUAAGCACUCCGCCUGGGGGAGUACGGCCGCAAGGCUGAACUCAAAGGAAUUGACGGGG
This 874-nucleotide ribosomal RNA is filed under the name Niallia circulans. RNAcentral describes it as "bacterial SSU rRNA". It matches the Rfam family "Bacterial small subunit ribosomal RNA", at positions 61 to 918 of the family's 1533-position model. Lineage: Bacteria; Bacillati; Bacillota; Bacilli; Caryophanales; Bacillaceae. The record is from RNAcentral.